AUUGAACGCUGGCGGCAGGCCUAACACAUGCAAGUCGAACGGUAACAGGAAGAAUCUUGCUUCUUUGCUGACGAGUGGCGGACGGGUGGGUAAUGUCUGUGGAACUUCCUGAUGGAGGGGGUUAACUACUGGAAACGGUAGCUACUACCGCAUAACGUCGCAAGACCAAGAAGCUGGGGCUUCCAGCCUCUUGCCAUCGGCUGGGUCCAGAUGGGAUUAGCUAGUAGGUGGGGUAACGGCUCACCUAGGCGACGAUCCCUAGCUGGUCUGAGAGGAUGACCAGCCACACUGGAACUGAGACACGGUCCAGACUCCUACGGGAGGCAGCAGUGGGGAAUAUUGCACAAUGGGCGAAAGCCUGAUGCAGCCAUGCCGCGUGUAUGAAGAAGGUCUUCGGGUUGUAAAGUACUUUAAGCGGGGAGGAAGGGAGGAAAGUUAAUACCUUUCCUCAUUGACGUUACCCGCAGAAGAAGCACCGGCUAACUCCGUG
RNAcentral lists this ribosomal RNA (490 nucleotides) under uncultured bacterium. Its description in RNAcentral is "partial 16S ribosomal RNA". It matches the Rfam family "Bacterial small subunit ribosomal RNA", at positions 30 to 507 of the family's 1533-position model. The record is from RNAcentral.